UACGUAGGGGGCAAGCGUUGUCCGGAAUCAUUGGGCGUAAAGGGCGCGUAGGUGGCCUUCUAAGCGUGCGGUGAAAGCCUGGGGCUCAACCCCGGGUCGGCCGUGCGAACUGGGGGGCUUGAGCACUGUAGAGGCAGGCGGAAUUCCGGGUGUAGCGGUGGAAUGCGUAGAGAUCCGGAAGAACACCGGUGGCGAAGGCGGCCUGCUGGGCAGUUUUGCUGACACUGAGGCGCGACAGCGUGGGGAGCAAACAGG
This 255-nucleotide ribosomal RNA is filed under the name uncultured bacterium. RNAcentral describes it as "partial 16S ribosomal RNA". It matches the Rfam family "Bacterial small subunit ribosomal RNA", at positions 524 to 776 of the family's 1533-position model. The record is from RNAcentral.